UGGGAUGUGACUUAGUGGUAGAGUGCGUGCCUAGUACGUGUGAGGCCCUGGGUUUAAUCCUCAGCACCACAU
Molecule: non-coding RNA, 72 nt
Organism: Ictidomys tridecemlineatus (thirteen-lined ground squirrel)
Lineage: Eukaryota; Metazoa; Chordata; Mammalia; Rodentia; Sciuridae
Source: Rfam